GUAAUGUACUACAGUUCUAUAAGAUGUCACCAUUGGGGAAGAAGAGCGAAUGAUACUUUGGACUCUUUAUACUUUUUUCUUAACUUUUAAUUAUUUCAAAAUAAAAAGUUUAAAGUUAAACUUAAGUUUAAAGAGUUAAACUCCGUCCAGUGGAGUGAAAAGCAGGACUGUCGGGUUGAUGACUCCUGGGCUCCUUCUCUUUCCUGCAGUGGGAGGGACUUUGCCAUGACUCAAUUUCUCAUGGGACCAGGGGCCUACAAGAAGUCCAAGAUUUGGGCAAGCUGGACCUUGAAUCUAAAAAUUUCAUUCUUCUCCUGCAAGGCCGCUCUCACCUUUUCCCUAUUAAAAGGUGUCUUGCAGCUCAGCCUCUUUGGAGUGUUCAUCUAGACCUCUGCUCAAGAUGGCUGUCUACUGAGUACUUGAAGAAGGUGACCCUGUUCCUGCUAAUCCUUCUCACCAUGAGUUCCAGGCCAUUCCAGGCUACAUCACCGCAGUCCUGCAUGACAAGGAGAGCAUCUAGCGACAUCAACCUUCACUACCCCAGUCUGCCCACGUGUUCUCCGAUGGAUCCACGGUCAGACUGCUAUCCUUGAAAUUCAGCACCGGCCCCCUCCCAGUUCUGGAGACCAGGUGCCCAUUUAUGUUAAUGGGAGAAAGAAAAGGGGUCUUCUCCCCUCCUGAGAACUAUCUUCUUCCACCCACUCUGCCCCUGUUGGACCUCCCACAACCCACUUGUAGACAGCAGUGGGUGUCUGGAAACAGUGCUGCCUCUUCUCAGGUGAUCACUACUAGAGUUAUUCUAAUGGCAGGAAUUUCAAGCCGGGUAAGAGGAGCCAUGCCAGUCUGCCAGAUGGUGGGGGAGAUAAAUGUGGGCGAGCAAGCUUCAGACUAAAGCAAGGGAGAGGGGAUCGGGUGUUGUAAUCACAGUCAAGAAAAGGAGUCAGGUGACCCUCAUUACAUAGUAUAGAGCCCUGUUAUAAUAUCCCUUAUUACUACUCGAACUUGGAUUUAACCUGGGACAAACCCUUUUCUUCUCCUGCUUCUGCCUUCCCACCCUAGGUUAUAGCUCUUUCCCUGUGAAGUCAUCACUCUUACUAAUGAUAAUACUAAGAAAUAACUGUUACUAAUGGCUUUAGGUCAUUUCAUCUAAGAUGUCACAGCCAGAACAUUUUGCCCGGUUUUUCAGAUGAGCAAACGCAUUCCCAAGGUCACAGGCAGCUGAGAACAGACAGGUCUGGGAUUCAAACUCAGGUCUUUCUGGCUCAGAAACUCUUGUCCUGUUCUCCUGAGGAUGACGUAGGGGGGAUUUGCUCUAAACCCUACAUCUUUUUUUUUUUUUUUUUUACAUUUAUUUAUUUUUGAGAAACACAGUGAGA
Long non-coding RNA from Herpailurus yagouaroundi (jaguarundi), 1376 nucleotides. RefSeq lists it as uncharacterized. The record is from RefSeq and is a predicted model, not a curated record. The transcript has 3 exons. Lineage: Eukaryota; Metazoa; Chordata; Mammalia; Carnivora; Felidae.